GUGGGGAAUUUUGGACAAUGGGGGCAACCCUGAUCCAGCCAUCCCGCGUGUGCGAUGAAGGCCUUCGGGUUGUAAAGCACUUUUGGCAGGGAAGAAAAGUUUCGGGCUAAUACCCUGGAGCGAUGACGGUACCUGCAGAAUAAGCACCGGCUAACUACGUGCCAGCAGCCGCGGUAAUACGUAGGGUGCAAGCGUUAAUCGGAAUUACUGGGCGUAAAGCGUGCGCAGGCGGUUCGGAAAGAAAGAUGUGAAAUCCCAGGGCUUAACCUUGGAACUGCAUUUUUAACUGUCGAACUCGAGUAUGUCAGAGGGGGGUAGAAUUCCACGUGUAGCAGUGAAAUGCGUAGAGAUGUGGAGGAAUACCGAUGGCGAAGGCAGCCCCCUGGGCCUGCACUGACGCUCAUGCACGAAAGCGUGGGGAGCAAACAGGAUUAGAUAUCCCAGUAGUCC
This 450-nucleotide ribosomal RNA is filed under the name uncultured bacterium. RNAcentral describes it as "partial 16S ribosomal RNA". It matches the Rfam family "Bacterial small subunit ribosomal RNA", at positions 354 to 796 of the family's 1533-position model. The record is from RNAcentral.